GAUGAAGAACGUAGCGAAAUGCGAUAAGUAAUGUGAAUUGCAGAAUUCAGUGAAUCAUCGAAUCUUUGAACGCACAUUGCGCCCCGUGGUAUUCCGCGGGGCAUGCCUGUUCGAGCGUCAUUACACCACUCAAGCCUCGCUUGGUAUUGGGCAACGCGGUCCGCCGCGUGCCUCAAAUCGACCGGCUGGGUCUUCUGUCCCCUAAGCGUUGUGGAAACUAUUCGCUAAAGGGUGUUCGGGAGGCUACGCCGUAAAACAACCCCAUUUCUAAGGUUGACCUCGGAUCAGGUAGGGAUACCCGCUGAACUUAAGCAUAUCAAUAAGCGGAGGA
This 331-nucleotide unclassified non-coding RNA is filed under the name soil metagenome. Its description in RNAcentral is "partial contains 5.8S ribosomal RNA, internal transcribed spacer 2, and large subunit ribosomal RNA". The stretch from base 1 to 120 matches the Rfam family "5.8S ribosomal RNA", at positions 35 to 154 of the family's 154-position model. The record is from RNAcentral.